UACGGAGGGAGCUAGCGUUGUUCGGAAUUACUGGGCGUAAAGCGCACGUAGGCGGCUUUGCAAGUUAGAGGUGAAAGCCUGGGGCUCAACUCCAGAACUGCCUUUAAAACUGCAUCGCUUGAAUCCAGGAGAGGUGAGUGGAAUUCCGAGUGUAGAGGUGAAAUUCGUAGAUAUUCGGAAGAACACCAGUGGCGAAGGCGACUUACUGGAUCAUGACUGACGCUGAGGCUCGAAAGCGUGGGGAGCAAACAGG
This 253-nucleotide ribosomal RNA is filed under the name uncultured bacterium. Its description in RNAcentral is "partial 16S ribosomal RNA". It matches the Rfam family "Bacterial small subunit ribosomal RNA", at positions 524 to 776 of the family's 1533-position model. The record is from RNAcentral.